UCCUAAAACCCUCUCUUUGCGUUUGGCCAUUCCCAUUUGAAAUCCUAGAACCCCAGAAAUUUUCAACCUUUUCCAAUCUCGUUCAAACUUCUUAUGGAUUACUCUUCUGCGACUCUCCAGGCCUCUUGCUCUUUCCCGGUUAGAACCCCUACUGUCGCUGUCAGAGCCAUUAGAAACUCAGCUCGAAUUACCUUUUGUUGUUCCUCUUCUCGACUUGAAGCUUUGGCAAAGCUUGGGAACACGUGCUCGACGCAAGGGAAGAAUUCGAGCUCAAAGAAUAGUAAGCAUUACAGAGCCACCACGGAUUCAACGUCUCACUAUCGGAACCCAAGCACUAUCUCCAGCUGCCAAGAAAUCCCAGAUGCCGAUUUUUGUGAUGGCCAGUCGGUGAGCCAGUGCCUCGUUCCUGACCGGCUCGCGCUUUGGCUUCGGUCGAGUCGUAGUUUAAAAGAGGUCAGAAGUAUACAUGCGGUGGUUGUGAAAUGUUUUCGGGAGUCUGUCACCUACAUGGGUAAUAAUUUGAUAAGUACUUAUCUGAGGUUUGGGGAGGUAGUUGAGGCUCGUAAGGUGUUUGAUAAAUUGCCGAACAGGAAUGUGGUUACUUGGACUGCUCUCAUUAAUGGGUAUUUAAACGUUGGUUUGGAUGAUGAGGCUUUGAGGUUGUUUAAUGAUUCUAUUGAAAAUGGGAUCCGAGCAAAUGAAAAGAUGUUUGUGUGUGUUUUGAAUAUGUGCAGUAGGAGGUCGGAUUUUGAGCUUGGUAGUCAAUUUCAUGCCUGUAUUGUGAAAGGUGGUUCGAGGAACUUGAUUGUGGAUAGUUCCAUCAUUCAUUUCUAUGCGCAAUGUAGGAAACUGCCAAGUGCAUUUCGUGCAUUUGAUCGGAUGCAAGAGCAGGAUGUGGUUUGUUGGACAACUAUGAUUACGGCUUGUGCACAACAAGGACAUGGACAGGAGGCCAUUUCACUGUUCUCACAAAUGUUAAGUAAUGGAUCUUCCCCUAAUGAAUUUACAGUAUGUGGUGUUCUGAAGGCUUGUGGAGAGGAAAAGGCAUUCAAAUUUGGGAGGCAGUUACAUGGUACCAUAGUGAAGAAAAUGUUUAGGAAUGAUGUUUUUGUAGGGACUUCCCUCGUUGAUAUGUAUGCAAAAUGUGGGGAGAUGCUAGAUUCUAAAAAGGUCUUUAAUCGAAUGAGGUAUAGAAACAUGGUUACUUGGACAUCAUUUAUAGCUGGAUAUGCCCGAAAGGGACUUGGUGAGGAGGCCAUAAGACUCUUCAGAGUGAUGAAGAGACGAAAAAUAAAUGCUAACAACUGGACAAUUGUUAGCGUCCUCAGGGCUUGUGGUUCAAUUGAGGCUACACUAUUGGGAAGGGAACUUCAUGCACAAAUAAUCAAGAAAUCCAUCAGGACCAAUAUAUACAUAGCAAGCACUCUAGUAUGGUUUUACUGUAAAUGUGCAGAGUAUAAUCAUGCCUUCAAGGUCCUCCAGCAGAUGCCCCGUAGAGAUGUUGUAUCAUGGACUGCCAUUAUUUCAGGUGGUGCACGACUUGGGCAUGAGUCUGAGGCUCUUGAGUUAUUGGGAGAAAUGAUGGAGGAAGGUGUUGAUCCCAACUCUUUUACUUAUUCAUCAGCUUUGAAAGCGUGUGCUAAUCUGGAAACUGUCCGUCUAGGGAAAUUGAUUCAUUCUUGUGCAAACAAGACUCCUUCCUUGUCUAAUGUGUUUGUGGGUAGUGCAUUAAUCAAUAUGUAUGCAAAGUGCGGAUAUUUGUCAGAGGCAUCCCAAGUUUUUGACAGCAUGCCUGAUCGAAAUUUGGUGUCUUGGAAGGCUAUGAUUAUGGGUUAUGCAAAGAAUGGGCUCUGCCAAGAGGCUUUGAAGCUCAUGUAUCGGAUGAAAGCAGAGGGUAUUGUGGUGGAUGAUUACAUCAUUGCAACAGUCCUUGCUGCGUGUGGAGAUUUCAAGUGGGAUAUGGAGGCUUCAUCCGAAUAUUGCUUGCUGUCUACUUAAUCUUUUGCCCAGAUGGAUUCCAAUGGAUUCCAACUCUUUUACUUAUUCAUCAGCUUUGAAAGCGUGUGCUAAUCUGGAAACUGUCCGCCUAGGAAAAUUGAUUCAUUCUUGUGCAAACAAGACCCCGUCCUUGUCUAAUGCGUUUGUGGGUAGUGCAUUAAUCAAUAUGUAUGCAAAAUGCGGAUAUUUGUCAGAGGCAUCCCAAGUUUUUGACAGCAUGCCUGAUCGAAAUUUGGUUUCUUGGAAGGCUAUGAUUAUGGGUUAUGCAAAGAAUGGGCUCUGCCAAGAGGCUUUGAAGCUCAUGUAUCGGAUGAAAGCAUGUUUGAUCUAUGUACUGCAGGCAUCAGGUAUAUAUAUCAACUAAGAUACAGCGGGCGGAUUUAUACUGAGCUGCAGAUACAUCAUAAAUUGGUCUGCAGGAUUAGUGGUAAAAGAUAAACAGUGAAUCAAUGUAUCACAAGAAGUACUGUGAAUGAGGGACCAUCCCGAACUCCCGCUCUGCACCCUGUCAUCGCUCAUGUACAUGUUGAUAUAAACUAGGAAAGGUCGAAAGAAAAAGGGUGCAGAGAGUUCCAAUUCACUUCAUAAAUCCAUUUCUCGAGAACGAUGUAAUGUUACUCCUCCAUGAAUGUUGAGCAUCAUAGCUCGCAUCAGUAAGAGGGCAUUACUGUAGACAUGUUCAGGUACAUCAUGCACUCAGAGGAUGUUACAAGACAAAUGGGAAAUUAUAAUUGCAAGCUGCCAAGCUGGUGUGGAGACACACUUUUCACACUAUUGAGAUGAUAUGAUUUGAUUUGUCAGAUGAUUUAAUUUUAAAAUUUUCUUAUAAAUCAAAUCUUAUCGGAAGUGUGCGGACGUGUUCUCCAAUGAGUAGAACAGUUUGGAACAAAAGGCCACUUGUAAUGUUUUCUCUCGUGUUGGGGUUGUUGAAGUUCAUUUCUACAAUAUCGCACUAUAUGAGAAAUGUGAUCUCAACUUGGAAAUACACGAUCAACUUGUAGAACUUACUAUUUAUUUGUUGAUUGUAGCUUCAAUAUGAGUAUAUAAAUCAAGUUGUUUGCAACAAA
Molecule: RNA transcript, 3065 nt
Organism: Juglans regia (Persian walnut)
Lineage: Eukaryota; Viridiplantae; Streptophyta; Magnoliopsida; Fagales; Juglandaceae
Gene name: pentatricopeptide repeat-containing protein At4g18520, chloroplastic-like
Exons: 3
Source: RefSeq, a predicted model, not a curated record